UACGAGGGGGGCAAGCGUUAUUCGGAAUUAUUGGGCGUAAAGGGCGCGUAGGCGGCUUUUCAAGUGACGGGUGAAAUCCCUCGGCUUAACCGAGGAACUGCCUGUCAGACUGGAAGGCUUGAGACCGGGAGAGGUGAGUGGAAUUCCCAGUGUAGCGGUGAAAUGCGUAGAUAUUGGGAGGAACACCAGUGGCGAAGGCGGCUCACUGGACCGGAACUGACGCUGAGGCGCGAAAGCGUGGGGAGCAAACAGG
This 253-nucleotide ribosomal RNA is filed under the name uncultured bacterium. RNAcentral's name for it is "partial 16S ribosomal RNA". It matches the Rfam family "Bacterial small subunit ribosomal RNA", at positions 524 to 776 of the family's 1533-position model. The record is from RNAcentral.